GACGAACGCUGGCGGCGUGCUUAACACAUGCAAGUCGAACGGAAAGGCCCUGCUUUUGUGGGGUGCUCGAGUGGCGAACGGGUGAGUAACACGUGAGUAACCUGCCCUUGACUUUGGGAUAACUCCAGGAAACUGGGGCUAAUACCGGAUAGGAGCUCCUGCUGCAUGGUGGGGGUUGGAAAGUUUCGGCGGUUGGGGAUGGACUCGCGGCUUAUCAGCUUGUUGGUGGGGUAGUGGCUUACCAAGGCUUUGACGGGUAGCCGGCCUGGGAGGGGGACCGGCCACAUUGGGACUGAGGGACGGCCCAGACGCCUACGGGAGGCAGCAGUGGGGAAUAUGGCGCAAUGGGCGGAAGCCUGAGGCAGCAACGCCGGGUGCGGGAAGACGUCCUUCGGGUUAUAAACCGCUGUCGCCUGUGACGAAGCGUGAGUGACGGUAAUGAGUAAAGAAGCACCGGCUAACUACGUG
This 468-nucleotide ribosomal RNA is filed under the name uncultured bacterium. Its description in RNAcentral is "partial 16S ribosomal RNA". It matches the Rfam family "Bacterial small subunit ribosomal RNA", at positions 28 to 507 of the family's 1533-position model. The record is from RNAcentral.